UGGAGAUGCCGGGGAAUGAACCCGGGGCCUUACACAUGCGAAGCGAACGCUCUACCACUGAGCCACAUCAAC
RNAcentral lists this transfer RNA (72 nucleotides) under Cordylochernes scorpioides. Its description in RNAcentral is "tRNA-Ala". Lineage: Eukaryota; Metazoa; Arthropoda; Arachnida; Pseudoscorpiones; Chernetidae. The record is from RNAcentral.